UGAGGAAUAUUGGUCAAUGGGCGCAAGCCUGAACCAGCCAUCCCGCGUGAAGGAAGAAUGCGCUACGCGUUGUAAACUUCUUUUCCAGGGGGAGAAUAAUCCUGUCGUGACAGGACUUGACGGUACUCUGGGAAUAAGCAUCGGCUAACUCCGUGCCAGCAGCCGCGGUAAUACGGAGGAUGCGAGCGUUAUCCGGAUUUAUUGGGUUUAAAGGGUGCGUAGGCGGAUUGAUAAGUCAGUGGUGAAAUUCUACAGCUUAACUGUAGACUUGCCGUUGAUACUGUUAGUCUUGAGUGUGGUCAAGGCAGGCGGAAUGUGUAAUGUAGCGGUGAAAUGCUUAGAUAUUACACAGAACACCGAUUGANCAAAGGCUAGCUUGGCUGGGUUCAUUACUGACGCUUG
This 402-nucleotide ribosomal RNA is filed under the name uncultured bacterium. RNAcentral describes it as "bacterial SSU rRNA". It matches the Rfam family "Bacterial small subunit ribosomal RNA", at positions 355 to 749 of the family's 1533-position model. The record is from RNAcentral.